Molecule: transfer RNA, 69 nt
Filed under: Malacosteus niger (stoplight loosejaw)
Lineage: Eukaryota; Metazoa; Chordata; Actinopteri; Stomiiformes; Stomiidae
Description: tRNA-Ala
Rfam family: tRNA
About the family: Transfer RNA (tRNA) molecules are approximately 80 nucleotides in length.
Source: RNAcentral
AAGGCUUUAGCUUAAUGAAAGUACUUGGGUUGCAUCCAAGGGAUGUGAGAUAGAGUCUCGCAAGUCUUA